RNAcentral lists this ribosomal RNA (235 nucleotides) under Parabacteroides distasonis. RNAcentral describes it as "partial 23S ribosomal RNA". It matches the Rfam family "Bacterial large subunit ribosomal RNA", at positions 247 to 480 of the family's 2925-position model. The record is from RNAcentral. Lineage: Bacteria; Pseudomonadati; Bacteroidota; Bacteroidia; Bacteroidales; Tannerellaceae.
UGGCGAGCGAACACGGAAGAGCCCAAACCCAUGUCGUCUAGGCGACACGGGGGUUGUAGGACCACGACGUGGCAAGAUAGAGUCAAGUGGAACGCCUUGGAAAGGGCGACCGUAGAGGGUGAUAGUCCCGUACACGACUGACGAUUGAAGCCUAGUGGUAUCCUGAGUAGCGCGGGGCACGAGAAAUCUUGCGUGAAACUGCGGGGCCCAUCCCGUAAGGCUAAAUACUCCCGAG